GAGGUUGUGGCUCAGCGGUAGAGUGCUCACCUAGCACGUGCAAGGACCUGGGUUCAAUCCUCAGCACCACA
RNAcentral lists this transfer RNA (71 nucleotides) under Marmota monax (woodchuck). RNAcentral describes it as "tRNA.Ala". Lineage: Eukaryota; Metazoa; Chordata; Mammalia; Rodentia; Sciuridae. The record is from RNAcentral.